CAGACCACAGAAGCAGCAGGAUGUAAGCUGCCCCACUGAAAAAGCAGGUCGAUGGCAGUGGGAAGACACGGGCUGUGCAGCAUGGAAAACAGCAGCUGAAGAUCCUAUAACCAGCAACCUGCCCUUCAGAUGUGGGAGCCCCUCUGUAUGCUAAUGAAAUCUGCAAACAGAAUAUGUCACCUGAGAACUUUCAUGGACAAGCAUGACAUCAUUUCCCAGACUUCCUCUUUCUUUCUUCUGGGAGUUCAGUGAGGAGAGUCUACACACAGCACUGAGCCUGUGGGUACCACAGACAGGAGGCAAGGAGAAGUGUCCUCGGCGUGCCUCCAGAGAGCGGUCAAAGCCAGACUUUCUUCAGACUGCGGAUGCUGCUUACUCGCUGUGCCAUGCCCCUGGCUGCAUGCCUGCUCUCCCCCU
Non-coding RNA from Myodes glareolus (Bank vole), 417 nucleotides. The record is from RefSeq and is a predicted model, not a curated record. Lineage: Eukaryota; Metazoa; Chordata; Mammalia; Rodentia; Cricetidae.